AGCGGUCCUACCGUGGGACGACGAUGGUGACCACGCUGUCGCCGUGCUGGUACUGCUCGGGGCUGAUCCGGCAGUUCGGCAUCAGCCGACUGGUC
RNAcentral lists this transfer RNA (95 nucleotides) under Terrabacter aerolatus. Its description in RNAcentral is "tRNA-Asp". Lineage: Bacteria; Bacillati; Actinomycetota; Actinomycetes; Micrococcales; Intrasporangiaceae. The record is from RNAcentral.